RNAcentral lists this ribosomal RNA (396 nucleotides) under Triticum aestivum (bread wheat). RNAcentral's name for it is "partial small subunit ribosomal RNA". Lineage: Eukaryota; Viridiplantae; Streptophyta; Magnoliopsida; Poales; Poaceae. The record is from RNAcentral.
AUGCUUACUGAAGAAUGGAUUCAGUUCCAUUCUCCACCUACCAGACCCCCGAAAGUGCAGAUCAAUCAGUGGGACUGGGUUAUGUUGAAUUUUGAUGCUUCUUUCAUUGGGGGCUUGGGAACUGGUGGGUGGGGCUGUAUAGCGAGAGAUGCAGCCGGCGAUGUCUUAUAUGCUGCAGCUGGCCUCUUGGUGGAUGUGUCUGAUCCAUUGCAUGCGAAAGCACUUGCUUUAAUUAGAACCAUCAAUUUUGCAGAGAAUUUUGGUAUGGGCCGGGUGAUAUUUAUGACAGAUUGUCUACCUUUGAAGCAAGCCAUAAAUGACAGUAAUGUAGAUCCUUCACAGCUGGGGAGUCCUUUUCAUGAGACCAAGUAUACAGAUAGGUUUCAUUCAAUUUAA